RNAcentral lists this ribosomal RNA (253 nucleotides) under uncultured Eubacteriales bacterium. RNAcentral describes it as "uncultured Clostridiales bacterium partial 16S ribosomal RNA". It matches the Rfam family "Bacterial small subunit ribosomal RNA", at positions 524 to 776 of the family's 1533-position model. Lineage: Bacteria; Bacillati; Bacillota; Clostridia; Eubacteriales. The record is from RNAcentral.
UACGGGGGAUGCAAGCGUUAUCCGGAUUUACUGGGUGUAAAGGGAGCGUAGACGGCAGCGCAAGUCUGGAGUGAAAUCCCAUGGCUUAACCAUGGAACUGCUUUGGAAACUGUGCAGCUGGAGUGCAGGAGAGGUAAGCGGAAUUCCUAGUGUAGCGGUGAAAUGCGUAGAUAUUAGGAGGAACACCAGAGGCGAAGGCGGCUUUCUGGACAUUAACUGACGCUGAGGUUCGAAAGCGUGGGUAGCAAACAGG